Long non-coding RNA from Oncorhynchus mykiss (rainbow trout), 2982 nucleotides. NCBI's taxonomy places the organism in Eukaryota, Metazoa, Chordata, Actinopteri, Salmoniformes, Salmonidae. The record is from Ensembl.
CUGCCUUGUUCAGGGGCAGAACGACAGAUAUUUUAUCUUGUCAACUCGGGAUUCAAUCUAACUCUGGGAUUCGACCUUCUCCCCUUCUCUCUUCUCUCUCAAUCCCCUCCCCUUCUCCCCCUCUGUCUCUUCUUCUCUCUCGAUCCCCGCCCCUUCUCCCCCUCUGUCUCUUCUUCUCUCUCUACCCCUCCCCUUCUCCCCCUCUGUCUCUUCUUCUCUCUCUAUCCCCGCCCCUUCUCCCAUUCUGUCUCUUCUUCUCUCUCUACCCCUGCCAUUCACUCUCUGUCUCUUCUUCUCUCUCUACCCCUCCCCUUCUGUCUCUGUCUCUUCUUCUCUCUCUAUCCCUCCCCUUCUAUCUCUCAGUCUCUUCUUCUCUCUCUACCCCACCAUUCUCUCUCUGUCUAUUCUUCUCUCUCUACCCCUCCUCUUCUAUCUCUGUCUCUUCUUCUUCUCUCUCUACCCCCUCCCCUUCCCCCCCUCUGUCUCUUCUUCUCUCUCUACCUCUCCCAUUCGCUCUCUGUCUCUUCUUUUCUCUCUACCCCCGCCCCUUCUCCCAUUCUGUCUCUUCUUCUCUCUCUACCCCCUCCCCUUCCCCCCUCUGUCUCUUCUUCUCUCUCUACCCCCUCCCCUUCCCCCCUCUGUCUCUUCUUCUCUCUCUACCCCUCCCAUUCGCUCUCUGUCUCUUCUUCUCUCUCUACCCCCGCCCCUUCUCCCAUUCUGUCUCUUCUUCUCUCUCUACCCCACCCAUUCUCUCUCUCUCUUCUUCUCUCUCUACCCCUCCCCUUCUAUCUCUCAGUCUCUUCUUCUCUCUCUACCCCCUCCCCUUCUCUCCCUCUCUCUUCUUCUCUCUCUACCCCCUCCCCUUCUCUCUCUGUCUCUUCUUCUCUCUCUACCCCACCCAUUCUCUCUCUGUCUAUUCUUCUCUCUCUACCCCUCCUCUUCUAUCUCUGUCUCUUCUUCUUCUCUCUCUACCCCCUCCCCUUCCCCCCCUCUGUCUCUUCUUCUCUCUCUACCCCUCCCAUUCGCUCUCUGUCUCUUCUUCUCUCUCUACCCCCGCCCCUUCUCCCAUUCUGUCUCUUCUUCUCUCUCUACCCCCUCCCCUUCCCCCCCUCUGUCUCUUCUUCUCUCUCUACCCCCUCCCCUUCUCCCCCUCUCUCUUCUUCUCUCUCUACCCCCGCCCCUUCUCCCAUUCUGUCUCUUCUUCUCUCUCUACCCCUCCUCUUCUAUCUCUCAGUCAAUUCUUCUCUCUCUACCCCCUCCCCUUCUCCCCCUCUGUCUCUUCUUCUCUCUCUACCCCGCCCCUUCUCCCCCUCUCUCUUCUUCUCUCUCUACCCCCGCCCCUUCUCCCAUUCUGUCUCUUCUUCUCUCUCUACCCCUCCCCUUCACCCCAUUCUGUCUCUUCUUCUCUCUCUACCCCCUCCCCCUUCACCCCAUUCUGUCUCUUCUUCUCUCUCUACCCCCUCCCCCUUCACCCCAUUCUUUCUCUUCUUCUCUCUCUACCCCCACCCCUUCUCCCAUUCUGUCUCUUCUUCUCUCUCUACCCCUCCCCUUCACCCCAUUCUGUCUUUUCUUCUCUCUCUACCCCCUCCCCCUUCACCCCAUUCUGUCUCUUCUUCUCUCUCUACCCCCUCCCCUUCACCCCAUUCUGUCUUUUCUUCUCUCUCUACCCCUUCCCCCUUCACCCCAUUCUGUCUAUUCUUCUCUCUCUACCCCUCCCCUUCUCUCUCUGUCUCUUCUUCUCUCUCGAUCCCCGCCCCUUCUCCCCCUCUGUCUCUUCUUCUCUCUCUACCCCCUCCCCCUUCACCCCAUUCUGUCUCUUCUUCUCUCUCUACCCCCGCCCCUUCUCCCAUUCUGUCUCUUCUUCUCACUCUACCCCUCCCCUUCACCCCAUUCUGUCUCUUCUUCUCUCUCUACCCCCUCCCCCUUCACCCCAUUCUGUCUCUUCUUCUCUCUCUACCCCUCCCCUUCUCUCUCUGUCUCUUCUUCUCUCUCGAUCCCCGCCCCUUCUCCCCCUCUGUCUCUUCUUCUCUCUCUACCCCUCCCCUUCUCCCCUCUGUCUCUUCUACUCUCUCUAUCCCCGCCCCUUCUCCCCCUCUGUCUCUUCUUCUCUCUCUACCCCUCCCCUUCUCUCUCUGUCUCUUCUUCUCUCUCUACCCCUCCCCUUCUCCCCCUCUGUCUCUUCUUCUCUCUCUACCCCCUCCCCUUCUCCCCAUUCUGUCUCUUCUUCUCUCUCUACCCCUCCCCUUCACCCCAUUCUGUCUCUUCUUCUCUCUCUACCCCCUCCCCCUCUGUCUCUUCUUCUCUCUCUACCCCUCCCCUUCACCCCAUUCUGUCUCUUCUUCUCUCUCUAAACCCUCCCCUUCUCCCAUUCUGUCUCUUCUUCUCUCUCUACCCCCUCCCCUUCACCCCAUUCUGUCUCUUCUUCUCUCUCUACCCCCUCCCCUUCACCCCAUUCUGUCUCUUCUUCUCUCUCUACCCCCUCCGCUUCUCUCCCUCUGUCUCUUCUUCUCUCUCUACCCCCUCCGCUUCUCCCCCUCUGUCUCUUCUUCUCUCUCUACCCCCUCCCCUUCACCCCAUUCUGUCUCUUCUUCUCUCUCUACCCCCUCCCCUUCACCCCAUUCUGUCUCUUCUUCUCUCUCUACCCCCUCCCCCUCUGUCUCUUCUUCUCUCUCUACCCCUCCCCUUCUCCCAUUCUGUCUCUUCUUCUCUCUCUACCCCCUCCCCUUCACCCCAUUCUGUCUCUUCUUCUCUCUCUACCCCCUCCGCUUCUCUCCCUCUGUCUUUCUCUCUUUUUUUCUCUCUCUCUCACGCACACGUUUUUUUUUAAAUUUCAUGACCUAUAAAGUAAACCAGACCCAGCUUUAUGCACUGGUACCCAGAAUGACCCAGCUGCUACAGUACACACCAGUCUGUCCUCCUGACCUACCAUUUGGGAAGCCCUGUGCUAGAUUUCUACACUUACAUUACCUCUCCCAAUGGUAG